This is a non-coding RNA of Kogia breviceps (pygmy sperm whale), 2125 nucleotides long. NCBI's taxonomy places the organism in Eukaryota, Metazoa, Chordata, Mammalia, Artiodactyla, Physeteridae. The record is from RefSeq and is a predicted model, not a curated record.
CGGCCCCCCGGGGCGGCCGCCGGGAGAGAUGCUGCAAGAAACUUCUUAAAUGACCGCGUCCGGCCGGCCGUGGAGCGUUUCUGGGUUGGGGAGAGGAAAGGAAAGUGGAAAAAAACUGAGAACUUCCUGAUCUCUCUCGCUGUGAGACAUGUCUGAGACUCCUGCUCAGUGUAGCAUUAAGCAGGAACGGAUUUCAUAUACACCCCCCGAGAGCCCGGUGCCCAGUUACACUUCCUCGACGCCGCUUCAUGUGCCAGUGCCCCGAGCGCUCAGGAUGGAGGAAGACUCGAUCCGCCUGCCUGCGCACCUGCGCUUGCAGCCAAUGUACUGGAGCAGAGAUGACGUAGCCCAGUGGCUCAAGUGGGCUGAAAAUGAGUUUUCUCUAAGGCCAAUUGACAGCAACACAUUUGAGAUGAAUGGCAAAGCUCUCCUGCUCCUGACCAAAGAGGACUUUCGCUACCGGUCUCCUCAUUCAGGUGAUGUGCUCUAUGAACUCCUUCAGCAUAUUCUGAAGCAGAGGAAACCUCGGAUUCUUUUCUCACCGUUCUUCCACCCCGGAAACUCGAUACACACGCAGCCAGAAGUCAUCCUGCAUCAGAACCACGAAGAAGAUAACUGUGUCCAGAGGACCCCGAGGCCGCCGGUGGAGAACGUCCACCACAACCCUCCCACCAUUGAACUGUUGCACCGUUCCAGGUCACCCAUCACGACCAACCACCGGCCUUCCCCCGACCCCGAGCAGCGGCCCCUCCGCUCCCCCCUGGACAACAUGAUCCGCCGCCUCUCCCCGGCCGAGAGGGCCCAGGGACCGAGGCUCCACCAGGAGAACAACCACCAGGAGUCCUACCCCCUGUCAGUGUCUCCCAUGGAGAAUAACCACUGCCCGCCACCCUCUGAGCCCCACCAGAAGCCCUCCAGCCCCCGGCAGGAGAGCACGCGGGUGAUCCAGCUGAUGCCCAGCCCCAUCAUGCACCCUCUGAUCCUGAACCCCCGGCACUCCGUGGAUUUCAAGCAGUCCCGGCUCUCCGAGGACGGGCUGCACCGGGAAGGGAAGCCCAUCAACCUCUCCCAUCGGGAGGACCUGGCGUACAUGAACCACCUCAUGGUCUCCGUCUCGCCGCCCGAGGAGCACGCCAUGCCCAUCGGGAGGAUAGCAGACUGUAGACUGCUUUGGGAUUACGUCUAUCAGUUGCUUUCUGACAGCCGGUACGAAAACUUCAUCCGAUGGGAGGACAAAGAAUCCAAAAUAUUCCGGAUAGUGGAUCCCAAUGGACUGGCUCGACUGUGGGGAAACCAUAAGAACAGAACAAACAUGACCUAUGAGAAAAUGUCCAGAGCCCUGCGCCACUACUACAAACUAAACAUUAUCAGGAAGGAGCCAGGACAAAGGCUUUUGUUCAGGUUUAUGAAAACCCCGGAUGAAAUCAUGAGUGGCCGAACAGAUCGUCUGGAGCAUCUUGAGUCCCAGGAGCUGGAUGAGCAGAUAUACCAAGAAGACGAGUGUUGAAGGAACCAGCCCCCGGCUCAGCGGGCCGGUAGCCAAGGGCGCCCUGCCCGCCAGGAUGGCUGGGGCGUGAUGGAGAGGAAGGGAAGAGACCCGGACGUGGCAGUGACACUUCUCUCGCCCAGCGUGAGGGACCCCGGAGCACCUUAGACAAACCACUCAGCAAAGGCGGCGCUGGAAUUCUGGCCAAGGGCACCAGCCUGGGACUCGUGUUCAUGGUUCCUUCUCGUUUGGAAUCUCUGUCUGUAAUUCCUCCCCCACCCCGUUCCACCUAUUGUUAAGUUUCACGGUGUUCUUGUUUUUGUUCUUUUUUAAGACCAUGCAGUUUGACUUUUCAUCAUUCAUACAGGGGAAGACAUCGAGGUUGUUUUCCUAUGGAAAUAUAUAUCUAUUACAUAUAUAUAUUUUUUGCAAAUCUCACAAAGCGUAGAAGCCCAAUUGGUCAGGAGAGAGAACACUUGCAAAAGGGUUCAGGUUCCUCUGGAUCCUGCCACGUGGAUCACGCUCGAAUCCAAUAAUAGGAGUAGAGUCUUCUUUUACUCACGCAGAUGAGACCUCCCUUACAAAGCACCCCGUCCUGUUUCUCUCCGCUUCCUCCAGUCAGUCGGGUGAGCAUCUCGU